GUGAAUCAUCGAAUCUUUGAACGCAAAUUGCACUCUCUGGCAUUCCGGAGAGCAUGCCUGUUUGAGGGUCAGUUUAAAUAUAAAUCGUGGUGUUGCGGUUGUUUAAUCCGGCGGAAUUGGGUUAUCUUUGACCUUGUAAAAAGUUUAAGUGACCUAAAAUUUAUACCUUGUGCAUAUCAGACGUUCAUAAGAAUAUUUUUUUAUCCGUCCGGAGUUGCCAACUUUUUAUUAGGUAUGACCAUGCUGUUUGUGGCAUUGUAUCUACAAUAUACUCAUAUUUUGACCUGAAAUCAGGUAG
RNAcentral lists this unclassified non-coding RNA (298 nucleotides) under Glomeraceae sp. RNAcentral's name for it is "partial contains 5.8S ribosomal RNA and internal transcribed spacer 2". The stretch from base 1 to 71 matches the Rfam family "5.8S ribosomal RNA", at positions 84 to 154 of the family's 154-position model. Lineage: Eukaryota; Fungi; Glomeromycota; Glomeromycetes; Glomerales; Glomeraceae. The record is from RNAcentral.